UAGCUCCACACAUAAUAACAACGUCCGAAUGUAUUCAUCAUUGUGAAGGGCAGAUAUCAUACUGACCGAUCAGUGGACCUACUUUAAAUAAUAGGGUAUCGGUUCUCAGUGUCUCGGUCCUCUCGGUUCCUACCCCCUACCCGAACCCGAUUUUCAUUUCAACUAUUCAAGUGCAAUUGAUAAAUGGAAGAUGUAAUUUCAGUUACACACGUAUGAAGAUUCAUCUCACAGUGGAUUAUAUCACAAUUGCAAUCACUAUUUCAGAUUCCAAAAUUGGUGGAUUAAAUCACAAAUUUGAAGUAUAACAUCAUGUACCUUGCCAACAACAAGCGUGGAGCAACCGUCAAUUGAAGAACGAAGAACAAAACAAAAAAUGAAUGUAGAUUGCAAGAGAGUGAAGAAUUAGUAUGAUGACUGAUGAUGAUCUGUGUGUACGUACGUAAAUUAGGUAUAGUAUUGAAUUUAGUAUAAAAGUGAAAAGUCAGUCCAAUAAAAUAACAGGCCAAAGCCCAUUCGAUUUGGUUUAAAUCGGUCCAGUU
This 539-nucleotide long non-coding RNA is filed under the name Helianthus annuus (common sunflower). Its description in RNAcentral is "sRNA HanXRQr2_Chr12g0540241". The record is from RNAcentral. Lineage: Eukaryota; Viridiplantae; Streptophyta; Magnoliopsida; Asterales; Asteraceae.